GAUUGCCGAACCGAAAUGCAUCAUGGGGAUGUAAACAAGAUAAUCGACCAAAGUGGGAGAACAAAGACAAAGGGAGAAAAGCCUGUAGAUAAAGGGAAAUACUGACCCCAGGAUCAUGAGCAUGUGGCCCAGGCUAUGCCGAACUUGUAUAUGGCCUACUUGCAUUGAACGAUUGGUACUAGAUGUAAACGGUGUACACAGUCAGUGCCUAGAGAGUCUAAGACGUGUAGUGGGCUCAAUGUUUCUGCGACUUGUGACUGAGUGCCAACUUUUAUCAACCUUAUGUGUGGUUAUUUCAUCAAGGGCGGAUCUAAAUUUUCAAAGUUGCAGGCAAUGAGGCUCCCUGAGAGUGCGAGAGAUCAUACAUGCAUUAUGGCCCGUCAGUCCUGAGACUCGCAAACUAGUGUGUAAGAGAAAGCAUCUGAUCCAACAAGAAGAUCGUGUGGACACUGGCAGAGUUGUCGUUUUGAAAUAGCAACCAAUGCCCUCUGACAGAAGAUGUAUACCAGAACUCACAUUGGAGAUAUUUGAUAGCAGAAGCUUUGGAUAAGAGUUGCCUUCGAGAUGAUUAUUGACGAAAUACCUAGUUUUUGAAAAAAUAAUGCAUUAUAGGAAAUACGGAACUUGUAUUAAGUCACAUUAGCACUAUAUUGUACCUUUUUGUUAGACACUAGACAAUUUUUCAGAACACUUGUUUUUUAUGAAGUGAAGCACUAAUAUACGUUCGUGUGAAGUUCAUCGCGAAUGAUCAUCUGACAUAUUCUGAUAUACUCGACAUUUAACAAUUGUUUCUGUUGAGUCUGUUAAAUUAUAUUUACAACAACAGUACUCUCAUAAAAUAAAUUCACGAUCCAGUGAUCGAACCACUAGACUGUUACAAUGAUAUGUAUUUUUGCUAUGCAUACAUUAUGUGAUAUUAUGUUUAUGGAUUCCUGUAUUGUUGGAAACACAGUUGGCAGUCUAGAAAAAAAAUAUUUUUAUGCAUAAAUGAUUCGGGCAAGGACAACAUAUAUUCACAAACGUGAUUCAUUUACUUAACAUAAGGCACUGUUUUGACUUUAUCACGGCAUCAUGUACAUGAUGCCACUUUGUGAAGUCAGCACACACUUUUUCAAGUGUGAAGCUUGACACAUAGAGCACAUGGUAUUGACACAGCUACUUCAUCACCGAAUACACAAUACCGCUUUGUGAAGUCAGCACACACUUUUUCAAGUGUGAAGCUUGACACAUAGAGCACAUGGUAUUGACACAGCUACUUCAUCACCAAAUACACAAUACCGCUUUGUGAAGUCAGCACACACUUUUUCAAGUGUGAAGCUUGACACAUAGAGCACAUGGUAUUGACACAGUCACUUCAUCACCAAAUGCAUGAUACCACUUUGUGAAAUCAGCACACAUUUGUUCAAGUGUGAAGCUUGACACAUAAAGCACAUGGUAUUGACACAGCCACUUUUUCACCAAAUACACAAUACCGCUUUGUGAAAUCAGCACACAUUUGUUCAAGUGUGAAGCUUGACACAUUAAAUUUAUCCAAUAUAUAUGUUGAUACAUAUUCAUAAUUUAUUUUUUUUUACAUUUCUAACAUAACGUGUCCACCUUCAUGAUUAUGUUCAUUAUUGGCACACUUUUUCAUGCAGUGCGUUUUUGUUAUUUUAUCUUCCAAAGCUGCAAUGUACAAAUAUUAUUUCUAUUU
Molecule: long non-coding RNA, 1693 nt
Organism: Ostrea edulis (European flat oyster)
Lineage: Eukaryota; Metazoa; Mollusca; Bivalvia; Ostreida; Ostreidae
Exons: 4
Source: RefSeq, a predicted model, not a curated record